GACGAACGCUGGCGGCGUGCCUAAUACAUGCAAGUCGAGCGAAGUUUUUCUGGUGCUUGCACUAGAAAAACUUAGCGGCGAACGGGUGAGUAACACGUAAAGAACCUGCCUCAUAGACUGGGACAACUAUUGGAAACGAUAGCUAAUACCGGAUAACAGUAUUUCUCGCAUGAGAGAUAUUUAAAAGUUGGUUAUGCUAACACUAUGAGAUGGCUUUGCGGUACAUUAGCUAGUUGGUGGGGUAAAGGCCCACCAAGGCGACGAUGCAUAGCCGACCUGAGAGGGUGAUCGGCCACACUGGGACUGAGACACGGCCCAGACUCCUACGGGAGGCAGCAGUAGGGAAUCUUCCGCAAAGGGCGAAAGCCUGACGGAGCAACGCCGCGUGAGUGAAGAAGGAUUUCGGUUCGUAAAGCUCUGUUGUUAGGGAUGAAUGGAUAUGUAGUAACUAUACAUGUAAGAGACGGUACCUAACCAGAAAGCCACGGCUAACUACGUG
This 499-nucleotide ribosomal RNA is filed under the name uncultured bacterium. Its description in RNAcentral is "partial 16S ribosomal RNA". It matches the Rfam family "Bacterial small subunit ribosomal RNA", at positions 28 to 507 of the family's 1533-position model. The record is from RNAcentral.